This 496-nucleotide ribosomal RNA is filed under the name uncultured bacterium. RNAcentral describes it as "partial 16S ribosomal RNA". It matches the Rfam family "Bacterial small subunit ribosomal RNA", at positions 28 to 506 of the family's 1533-position model. The record is from RNAcentral.
GAUGAACGCUGGCGGCGUGCCUAAUACAUGCAAGUCGAGCGAACAGACGAGGAGCUUGCUCCUCUGACGUUAGCGGCGGACGGGUGAGUAACACGUGGAUAACCUACCUAUAAGACUGGGAUAACUUCGGGAAACCGGAGCUAAUACCGGAUAAUAUAUUGAACCGCAUGGUUCAAUAGUGAAAGACGGUUUUGCUGUCACUUAUAGAUGGAUCCGCGCCGCAUUAGCUAGUUGGUAAGGUAACGGCUUACCAAGGCAACGAUGCGUAGCCGACCUGAGAGGGGGACCGGCCCAACGGGAACUGAGAACCGGUCCAGCCCCCGACGGGGGGCAGCAGGGGGGAAUCUCCCGAAAUGGGCGAAAGCCUGCGGGACAAACGCCGGGGGAGGGAAGAAGGUUUUGGGACCGUAAAACUCUUUUAUUAGGGAAAAAAAAAUGGUAAAGUAAUGUGGCCCCUUUUGACGGUACCAAAACAGAAAGCCCCGGCUAACCACGU